GAUGGUGUAGCUCAGCGGUUAGCGGUUGACUGUUAAUCAACGGUCGAUGGUUCAAAUCCAUCCACCAUCGCCA
Molecule: transfer RNA, 73 nt
Filed under: Salmonella sp.
Lineage: Bacteria; Pseudomonadati; Pseudomonadota; Gammaproteobacteria; Enterobacterales; Enterobacteriaceae
Description: tRNA-Asn
Rfam family: tRNA
About the family: Transfer RNA (tRNA) molecules are approximately 80 nucleotides in length. Their secondary structure includes four short double-helical elements and three loops (D, anti-codon, and T loops).
Source: RNAcentral